This 492-nucleotide ribosomal RNA is filed under the name uncultured bacterium. RNAcentral describes it as "partial 16S ribosomal RNA". It matches the Rfam family "Bacterial small subunit ribosomal RNA", at positions 29 to 507 of the family's 1533-position model. The record is from RNAcentral.
AGUGAACGCUGGCGGUAGGCCUAACACAUGCAAGUCGAACGGCAGCACAGUAAGAGCUUGCUCUUACGGGUGGCGAGUGGCGGACGGGUGAGGAAUACAUCGGAAUCUACUUUUUCGUGGGGGAUAACGUAGGGAAACUUACGCUAAUACCGCAUCCGACCUACGGGUGAAAGCAGGGGAUCUUCGGACCUUGCGCGAUUGAAUGAGCCGAUGUCGGAUUAGCUAGUUGGCGGGGUAAAGGCCCACCAAGGCGACGAUCCGUAGCUGGUCUGAGAGGAUGAUCGGCCACACUGGAACUGAGACACGGUCCAGACUCCUACGGGAGGCAGCAGUGGGGAAUAUUGGACAAUGGGCGCAAGCCUGAUCCAGCCAUACCGCGUGGGUGAAGAAGGCCUUCGGGUUGUAAAGCCCUUUUGUUGGGAAAGAAAAGCAGCAGGUUAAGACCCCGCUGUUCUGACGGUACCCAAAGAAUAAGCACCGGCUAACUUCGUG